CUCAACGUCGAUCGGUCCGAGUCCUUGCGAUAUCUGCUGCCUUAUAUCCGCUCUCCACGAUGCUCAAAGUCGCUGUCUUGGUUCUCGUGGCUGCUACUAGCUGUUGCCUGGCCAAAGACAUCAUCUUCAAACAGAAACACAAGGCACUGAAUGUGACCGUGGCUGUCAACUCAGAGGAAGAAGUGCAUUGCGCCGGCUGGGUGGACGCCGACGGCGACAUCGAACAGUCUACCCCUUCCGGCUGCUUCAACGUCACACACACAGGGAAGGGAGAGUACAACAUCGAUUUUACAACCCCGAUGACUGCCCCACCUGUCUGCGUCGUUUCACCGUUUUACGACAGUUCGUAUGCAACAACCGCCGGCGUCACAUACAUUAGUACCACCGGAUUCGGUUACUCCACCGGAGUAUUGUAUUGGGCGAGAGACUCGAGUGCCACCUUCAUCUGCUUUCUGAUUGAGGAGGAUUGAGGGAUGAGCAACAUUUCUUGACGUGAACGGUAAUUGUGCAAGAGUGUCACAAAACGUAUAGUAACGCGGUGUUGUUGCAUGGUCUAGACUUCAGAAACUAGAAACUUCGAUGUUGAUGCUGUCACGUGCGUGCUGCCUAGAGCUUUACGUUGUCUUGCAAACGUUUCAAAGUGAAUAAAUGUAU
Molecule: long non-coding RNA, 654 nt
Organism: Corticium candelabrum
Lineage: Eukaryota; Metazoa; Porifera; Homoscleromorpha; Homosclerophorida; Plakinidae
Exons: 3
Source: RefSeq, a predicted model, not a curated record